Molecule: long non-coding RNA, 561 nt
Organism: Lutra lutra (Eurasian river otter)
Lineage: Eukaryota; Metazoa; Chordata; Mammalia; Carnivora; Mustelidae
Exons: 4
Source: RefSeq, a predicted model, not a curated record
GAUACCUGGAAAUGUGGCAACCAUCUUUCAUUCACAAGACUAGCAGCUUAAGAUAAAGCCAAAAAGCCAAGGGCAGGAGAGCAGAAACAGCCUAGGUCCUUUAUGUGUCAUGGAGCACUGUAGCUUGGGGCUGCCAGUAUCCAGACUGUUCAUGUCGGGAAAUUUUGAGGAACUCUAGCUGAUUCACCUUGGUUCAUUUGAUCACCUGUAGACCAAUCAGCUGUGAUAAGAACUGUGGAGUCUUGGGAUAACUUGUCCGUGCCUGCCAGAGACACACAGGAAUAAGCCUUGAAGGCAGCCAGAAUGACUGUCUAGUUAGUUCCCUUGUCAACAAUGCAAAACAUUGUCACAUAUGCUCCGAGGACUGUUCUGGCACCAAAAUAAGAAGGAGCUCAAUGAACAUUUGUACAACAAAUGAAUCUUGCUGUGGGGACAUCACAUUAAGGAAGAACAUUUAGAACGUCAUUACAUUCUAUUGAUUUCAAAUUCAAUGAAAGUUCAAAGAAGAGCAAAAUCAACAUGAACUGGAACGUGUAUUGAAGGAGUUAUGGAUGUUACAAG